Molecule: ribosomal RNA, 253 nt
Filed under: uncultured bacterium
Lineage: Bacteria
Description: partial 16S ribosomal RNA
Rfam family: Bacterial small subunit ribosomal RNA
Source: RNAcentral
UACGUAGGUGGCAAGCGUUAUCCGGAUUUACUGGGCGUAAAGGGAACGUAGGCGGUCUUUUAAGUCUGAUGUGAAAGCCUUCGGCUUAACCGGAGUAGUGCAUUGGAAACUGGGAGACUUGAGUGCAGAAGAGGAGAGUGGAACUCCAUGUGUAGCGGUGAAAUGCGUAGAUAUAUGGAAGAACACCAGUGGCGAAAGCGGCUCUCUGGUCUGUAACUGACGCUGAGGUUCGAAAGCGUGGGUAGCAAACAGG